AGUGAACGCUGGCGGUAGGCCUAACACAUGCAAGUCGAACGGCAGCACACUAAGUUCUUGCUCUUACGGGUUGCCAGUCGCGGACGUGUCAGGAGUGCAUCCGACUCUACUUUUUCGUGUGGGAUAACGUAGGGAAGCUUACGCUCAUACCGCAUACUACCUUCGGGUGCAAGCAGGGGAUUUUUGCACCUUGCGCUAUUGUCUGAGCCGAUGUCGGAUUAGCUAGUUGGCGGGGUAAAGGCCCACUAAGCCGGCGAUCCGUCGAUGGUCUGAGAGGAGGAUCACCCACACGGGAGCUGAGACACGGUCCAGACUCCUACGGGAGGGAGCAGUGGGGAAUAUUGGACAAUGGGGGCAAGCCUGGUCCAGCCAGACCGAGUGGGUGAGGAAGGCCUUCGGGUUGUAAAGCCCUUUUGUUGGGAAAGAAAAGCAGCAGGUUAAUACCCCGCUGUUCUGACGGUACCCAAAGAAGAAGCACCGGCUAACUUCGUG
This 492-nucleotide ribosomal RNA is filed under the name uncultured bacterium. RNAcentral's name for it is "partial 16S ribosomal RNA". It matches the Rfam family "Bacterial small subunit ribosomal RNA", at positions 29 to 507 of the family's 1533-position model. The record is from RNAcentral.